Molecule: ribosomal RNA, 994 nt
Filed under: uncultured marine bacterium
Lineage: Bacteria
Description: bacterial SSU rRNA
Rfam family: Bacterial small subunit ribosomal RNA
Source: RNAcentral
UCGAGCGAAGCUUUUCAGUAGUUUACUACAGAAAAUGACUGAGCGGCGAACGGGUGAGUAACGCGUGAGCAAUCUACCUUAGUUACAGGGAUAGCCCGAGGAAACUCGGAUUAAUACCUGAUAUCCUUUAAAUUUCGCAUGAAAUUAAAAGGAAAGGUCAGCCGAACUAAGAUGAGCUCGCGUUCUAUCAGCUAGUUGGUGAGGUAAAAGCUCACCAAGGCAACGACGGAUAGCUGGUCUGAGAGGACGAUCAGCCACACUGGGACUGAGACACGGCCCAGACUCCUACGGGAGGCUGCAGCAGGGAAUAUUGCGCAAUGAGCGAAAGCUUGACGCAGCGACACCGCGUGUGGGAUGACGGAUCUAGGUUUGUAAACCACUUUCAGGAGGGAAGAAAAUGACGGUACCUCCACAAGAAGCCCCGGCCAACUACGUGCCAGCAGCCGCGGUAAUACGUAGGGGGCGAGCGUUGUCCGGAUUUAUUGGGCGUAAAGAGCUCGUAGGCGGUUCAACAAGUCGGUCGUAAAAGUUCAGGGCUCAACCCUGAAAUGUCGAUCGAUACUGUUGUGACUAGGAUACGGUAGAGGUGAGUGGAAUUCCGGGUGUAGCGGUGAAAUGCGUAGAUAUUCGGAGGAACACCAAUUGCGAAGGCAGCUCACUGGGCCGCUAUCGACGCUGAGGAGCGAAAGCUAGGGGAGCGAACAGGAUUAGAUACCCUGGUAGUCCUAGCUGUAAACGAUGGAUACUAGACGUAGGAACUGGAUUGACGGUUUCUGUGUCGUAGCUAACGCGUUAAGUAUCCCGCCUGGGGAGUACGGUCGCAAGACUAAAACUCAAAGGAAUUGACGGGACCCCGCACAAGCGGCGGAGCAUGCGGCUUAAUUCGAUGAUACCCGUAGAACCUUACCUGGACUUGACAUAUAGGGUCAAGCUAUAGAGAUAUAGUGUGCAUUAGCGCCCUAUACAGGUGGUGCAUGGCUGUCGUCAGCUCGUG